This 253-nucleotide ribosomal RNA is filed under the name uncultured bacterium. Its description in RNAcentral is "partial 16S ribosomal RNA". It matches the Rfam family "Bacterial small subunit ribosomal RNA", at positions 524 to 776 of the family's 1533-position model. The record is from RNAcentral.
UACAGAGGUCUCAAGCGUUGUUCGGAUUCAUUGGGCGUAAAGGGUGUGUAGGUGGCGCGCUAAGUCGGGUGUGAAAUUUCGGAGCUUAACUUCGAAACUGCAUUCGAUACUGGCGUGCUUGAGGACUGGAGAGGAGACUGGAAUUCGUGGUGUAGCAGUGAAAUGCGUAGAGAUCAUGAGGAAGACCAGUGGCGAAGGCGGAGACCUGGGCCGAUACUGACGCUGAGGUGCGAAAGCGUGGGGAGCAAACAGG